AGCUCCAAUAGCGUAUCUUAAAGUUGUUGCAGUUAAAAAGCUCGUAGUUGGAUUUCGGAAUGGGCCAGUUGGUCCGCCGCAAGGUGAGUUACUGACUGGUCUGUUCUUCUUCGCAAAGACUGCGUGUGCGCUUUAUUGCGUGUACGUAGGAUUUACGACGUUUACUUUGAAAAAAUUAGAGUGUUCAAAGCAGGCUAACGCUUGAAUACAUGAGCAUGGAAUAAUGGAAUAGGACUUUGGUCUUAUUUUGUUGGUUUCUGAGACCGAAGUAAUGAUUAAGAGGGACAAUUGGGGGCAUCCGUAUUUCGUUGUCAGAGGGGAAAUUCUUGGAUUUACGAAAGACGAACAACUGCGAAAGCAUUUGCCAAGAGUGUUU
This 376-nucleotide ribosomal RNA is filed under the name uncultured eukaryote. RNAcentral describes it as "SSU rRNA". It matches the Rfam family "Eukaryotic small subunit ribosomal RNA", at positions 587 to 969 of the family's 1831-position model. The record is from RNAcentral.